This is a non-coding RNA of Chanos chanos (milkfish), 274 nucleotides long. RefSeq annotates it as small Cajal body-specific RNA 6. The record is from RefSeq and is a predicted model, not a curated record. The transcript has a single exon. Lineage: Eukaryota; Metazoa; Chordata; Actinopteri; Gonorynchiformes; Chanidae.
GGUCAAUGAUGUGAUGUAAAAGGUCUGAUGCCCAGGUCCCCACCAGUUUGCCUCAGACUCCCAGCAGCCCCUGCUGUUUUCCCAGCAUGCUCUAGAUGUGCAGUGUUGGUUCUCAGGGGCAGCUGACAUUUGGGAUGGCCCUCCUGAGAAUGUGUCUCAUAAAGACCAAUGAGUUGCAAGUACUGGCCAGGCCAUCCAACAGUAGCCAAUCACAGUGGAGUAUCGGCUCUGGUGAGGGGGCGGGGCUACUGAUCACAUCUUAUUUACUGAGACC